Molecule: ribosomal RNA, 484 nt
Filed under: uncultured bacterium
Lineage: Bacteria
Description: partial 16S ribosomal RNA
Rfam family: Bacterial small subunit ribosomal RNA
Source: RNAcentral
AUUGAACGCUGGCGGCAUGCUUUACACAUGCAAGUCGAACGGCAGCGCGGGCUUCGGCCUGGCGGCGAGUGGCGAACGGGUGAGUAAUACAUCGGAACGUGCCCAGUAGUGGGGGAUAGCUCGGCGAAAGCCGGAUUAAUGCCGCAUACGACCUGAGGGUGAAAGCGGGGGAUCUUCGGACCUCGCGCUAUUUGAGCGGCCGAUGGCGGAUUAGCUAGUUGGUGGGGUAAAGGACUACCAAGGCGACGAUCUGUAGCUGGUCUGAGAGGACGACCAGCCACACUGGGACUGAGACACGGCCCAGACUCCUACGGGAGGCAGCAGUGGGGAAUGUUGGACAAUGGGCGAAAGCCUGAUCCAGCAAUGCCGCGUGUGUGAUGAAGGCCUUCGGGUUGUAAAGCACUUUUGGCGGGAACGAAAAGGACUGUGCCAAUACCACGGUUCGAUGACGGUACCCGCAGAAUAAGCACCGGCUAACUACGUG